GCGAAAACUUUACAAUGCUGGCAACAGCGAUAAGGGAACCUCGAGUGCCAGGUUACAAAUCUGGCUGUCGAGAUGCCUAAAAAGCAUUUCAUAGCAAGGGCCGGGCAAGACCGGUGCCAGCCGCCGCGGUAACACCGGCGGCUCGAGUGGUAACCGUUAUCAUUGGGUCUAAAGGGUCUGUAGCCGGCCGGAUAAGUCUCUUGAGAAAUCUGGCAGCUCAACUGUCAGGCUUUCAGGAGAUACUGUCUGGCUCGAGGCCGGGAGAGGUGAGAGGUACUUCAGGGGUAGGGGUGAAAUCUUGUAAUCCUUGAAGGACCACCAGUGGCGAAGGCGUCUCACCAGAACGGACCUGACGGCAAGGGACGAAAGCUAGGGGCACGAACC
RNAcentral lists this ribosomal RNA (384 nucleotides) under uncultured prokaryote. Its description in RNAcentral is "bacterial SSU rRNA". It matches the Rfam family "Archaeal small subunit ribosomal RNA", at positions 341 to 725 of the family's 1478-position model. The record is from RNAcentral.